RNAcentral lists this long non-coding RNA (702 nucleotides) under Anas platyrhynchos platyrhynchos (common mallard). RNAcentral describes it as "lncRNA (ENSAPLG00000017740.1)". The record is from RNAcentral. Lineage: Eukaryota; Metazoa; Chordata; Aves; Anseriformes; Anatidae.
CAGUUAUGUGAUAGUAUUUUAUAAUCAACAUGCGGUUUUCUCAUGUACUAAUUGCUAGUUCACUUUAAAAUGAAAGCAAGAUUGGUUUUUGAUUUGUGAAGUGUUCCUAUGCACAUACCUUCAAGAAGUGAAAGAGAGCUGUCAUUAGGACUGUGGUACCAGUGCCUCUCGUAGGCUUUAACUGCACUCACCUGCCCCGCCUGCAGCCUCCCCAUGCCCCUGCCCAGCUUGGGGCACUCUUGUUUCAGGGUGUGACCCAUAGGCUCACUCCCUGCCUUGACUGUGUCUCAUCACCAUGAACUUGCCAGAUGAGCUGGGCUCUUGGUGACACAUGCUCUGCUCUUCUCACACAGGGAACAAGUUGUCUUGAAGAGUUGUGGAAAAGUGUCUAUCAACACUGUGUAUAACAACUCUGAAAAACAGAAUUCAGCCGGCAACUCUCACACAUGCUUUCUCUAAGCAGCAGAAGUACUAAUAUGUAAUCAACAAAAGUAGAAAAAAUUGGAGCAGCAGGCCUGUGUUAUACACUCAGCAUGGUUGUGCAGUUAAUUUUUGGCCUAUAGAGAGUUCACAGGAAACUUACUAUGUGUAUCUGAAGCAACGAAUGAGGAAUCAGGACCAAGGAUGUUACUGGAUAUGUUCAAACAGAAAAUUAAAUCAGCAAACAACUCAAAGGUGAAUAUUUUCAGGUACUAUAGUAUG